GGAACUAAUUUAGUCUCAGAAGACUUGGAUAUCGAGACAUUUAGAAGCAGGACAAUGCCUAUUAAAUCCAUGAAUGAUAGGACAGAUCUCAAAAUUACAGAGCAUAGAUCAUCAGUAGAAAAUUGUCAAUAUCAGAACUUAAACAUACUCAAUAAUAGACAGAGAUCUGUGUGUGCAUUUGCUAUAGAUUGUCGUAUAACUCCAAAUGGCAAGCAUAAAAAAGGAGGUAUGUUACUCGUCAUCUUUGUAAGGGUACUCCUCAGGAACUUGCCUCAGAAGCUUCAGUUGCAACUCAAAUGCGUCAUCCCCUCUGAGCAUAUCACGAAGCCACGUGACCUCUGUUUUCAUUGACACCAUUUCUAAUGCUCCCCUGACUACUCCACUUAAGAUGUUACAAUA
This 399-nucleotide unclassified non-coding RNA is filed under the name Hevea brasiliensis (rubber tree). The record is from RNAcentral. Lineage: Eukaryota; Viridiplantae; Streptophyta; Magnoliopsida; Malpighiales; Euphorbiaceae.